RNAcentral lists this unclassified non-coding RNA (450 nucleotides) under air metagenome. Its description in RNAcentral is "partial contains small subunit ribosomal RNA, internal transcribed spacer 1, and 5.8S ribosomal RNA". The stretch from base 1 to 46 matches the Rfam family "Eukaryotic small subunit ribosomal RNA", at positions 1786 to 1831 of the family's 1831-position model. The record is from RNAcentral.
AAGUCGUAACAAGGUUUCCGUAGGUGAACCUGCGGAAGGAUCAUUAUUGAAGUUUGUUAAGAGACUGUUGCUGGACUCUCUUGGGAGUUAAUGUGCACGUCUUUUACACAUCUUUUUAACCACCUGUGCACCUUUUGUAGACUUGGAAUAAAUCUGUCAACAGAUGUUGGAUGUGAAGUUUGCUUUUGUUUAAAGUAAGGAUGCACUUUUAUUAGUAUGAACUUUUCACAAGUUCAAUCCUGAAGAAAGCUCUCUUCUACUUUGUUUCAUUCAUUUGAAAUAAAUCUAUCAACAAAUGUUGGAUGUGAAGACCGCUGUUGUUAACCCAUCUCGGCCCUCUUCUACUUUUCCAAGUCUAUGUUUAUACAUACACUUAUAAUAAAUAAUGGAAUGAUAGUCUUCUUGACUCUAAACUAUAUACAACUUUCAACAAUGGAUCUCUUGGUUCUC